ACUCAAAAACUAAAAUGACCAAAAUAGCAUUUUAUCUUUUGAAUUUUUUUUUUUUUUUUUCAAAAUUUGAAAUCUUAUCCCAAAACCCAAAACCCUAAACCCUAAACCCUAAACCCUAAACUCUAAACCCUAAACUCUAAACUCUAAACCCUAAACCUAAACCCUAAACUCUAAACCCUAAACUCUAAACCCUAAACCCUAAAUCCUAAAUC
This 212-nucleotide long non-coding RNA is filed under the name Brassica napus (rape). RNAcentral's name for it is "long non-coding RNA (BNAP_LNC027220)". The record is from RNAcentral. Lineage: Eukaryota; Viridiplantae; Streptophyta; Magnoliopsida; Brassicales; Brassicaceae.